Molecule: ribosomal RNA, 253 nt
Filed under: uncultured bacterium
Lineage: Bacteria
Description: partial 16S ribosomal RNA
Rfam family: Bacterial small subunit ribosomal RNA
Source: RNAcentral
UACAGAGAAGCCAAGCGUUGUCCGGAUUGACUGGGCGUAAAGCGCACGCAGGCGGACGCGCGCGUGGGGUGUGAAAUCUGGCCGCUUAACGGCCAGGCGCCAUCCCAUACGGCGCGUCUGGAGUGAUGCAGAGGUCGAUGGAAUUGCCGGUGUAGUGGUGAAAUGCGUAGAGAUCGGCAGGAACACCCAGGGGGAAACCAGUCGACUGGGCAUCUACUGACGCUGAGGUGCGAGAGCGUGGGGAGCGAACCGG